CCUACGGGCGGCAGCAGUGGGGAAUAUUGCACAAUGGGCGCAAGCCUGAUGCAGCCAUGCCGCGUGUGUGAAGAAGGCCUUCGGGUUGUAAAGCACUUUCAGCGGGGAGGAAGGCGUUAAGGUUAAUAACCUUGUCGAUUGACGUUACCCGCAGAAGAAGCACCGGCUAACUCCGUGCCAGCAGCCGCGGUAAUACGGAGGGUGCAAGCGUUAAUCGGAAUUACUGGGCGUAAAGCGCACGCAGGCGGUCUGUCAAGUCGGAUGUGAAAUCCCCGGGCUCAACCUGGGAACUGCAUUCGAAACUGGCAGGCUAGAGUCUUGCAGAGGGGGGUAGAAUUCCAGGUGUAGCGGUGAAAUGCGUAGAGAUCUGGAGGAAUACCGGUGGCGAAGGCGGCCCCCUGGACAAAGACUGACGCUCAGGUGCGAAAGCGUGGGGAGCAAACAGGAUUAGAUACCCGGGUAGUC
RNAcentral lists this ribosomal RNA (465 nucleotides) under uncultured Klebsiella sp. RNAcentral describes it as "bacterial SSU rRNA". It matches the Rfam family "Bacterial small subunit ribosomal RNA", at positions 338 to 795 of the family's 1533-position model. The record is from RNAcentral. Lineage: Bacteria; Pseudomonadati; Pseudomonadota; Gammaproteobacteria; Enterobacterales; Enterobacteriaceae.